GGGAAUUUAGCUCAGUUGGUUAGAGCAAACGACUCAUAAUCGUUAGGUCAAGGGUUCGAGCCCCUUAAUUCCCACCA
Molecule: transfer RNA, 77 nt
Filed under: Marinobacterium sp. xm-g-48
Lineage: Bacteria; Pseudomonadati; Pseudomonadota; Gammaproteobacteria; Oceanospirillales; Oceanospirillaceae
Also listed under: 1 other name
Description: tRNA-Met
Rfam family: tRNA
About the family: Transfer RNA (tRNA) molecules are approximately 80 nucleotides in length. Their secondary structure includes four short double-helical elements and three loops (D, anti-codon, and T loops).
Source: RNAcentral